GAGCAUUAAGUUCAUGCUUUAAUCACGAUUUUAAUAACUUUGAGUUCUGAAGCUCCUUUUUUCUUUCUCUAGGUUAUUGCUGUUGGAAUGAAUCCUCUUCAAAUUGCUCUUGGGAUUGAGAAGACAACAACUGCACUUGUUUCUGAACUCAGUUUCAUGUCAAGAGAGGGCGGGGAAUGAUUAUGCAGUUGAAAACAUGAUUUUUGAGGCACUGCAUAAGCAAGAGAGUAGUAGUGACAAUUGAAACUAGAAAAGUAGAGAUUAUGGAGGGAAUGCAAUUUGAUCAUGUAUAUUUGUCCCCAUACUUUGUCAACAAUAGAGGAAAGAUGACAGUGGAAUUCCACAUGUAUUUAUGAAAGAUUCUACUCACUUCUA
Molecule: long non-coding RNA, 375 nt
Organism: Vigna unguiculata (cowpea)
Lineage: Eukaryota; Viridiplantae; Streptophyta; Magnoliopsida; Fabales; Fabaceae
Source: RefSeq, a predicted model, not a curated record